Small nuclear RNA from Erinaceus europaeus (western European hedgehog), 164 nucleotides. Its record names the gene U1. It matches the Rfam family "U1 spliceosomal RNA". From Rfam's summary of the family: U1 is a small nuclear RNA (snRNA) component of the spliceosome (involved in pre-mRNA splicing). Its 5' end forms complementary base pairs with the 5' splice junction, thus defining the 5' donor site of an intron. There are significant differences in sequence and secondary structure between metazoan and yeast U1 snRNAs, the latter being much longer (568 nucleotides as compared to 164 nucleotides in human). Lineage: Eukaryota; Metazoa; Chordata; Mammalia; Eulipotyphla; Erinaceidae. The record is from Ensembl.
AUACUUACCUGGCAGGGGAGAUACCAUGAUCACCAGGGUGGUUUUCCCAGGGCGAGGCUUAUCCAUUGCAUUCCCCAUGUGCUGACCCCUGCGAUUUCCCCAAAUGUGGGAAACUGGACUGCAUAAUUUGUGGUAGUGGGGGACUGCGUUCGCGCUCUCCCCUG